RNAcentral lists this ribosomal RNA (381 nucleotides) under Candidatus Dadabacteria bacterium. RNAcentral describes it as "bacterial SSU rRNA". It matches the Rfam family "Bacterial small subunit ribosomal RNA", at positions 1 to 356 of the family's 1533-position model. Lineage: Bacteria; Pseudomonadati; Thermodesulfobacteriota; Candidatus Dadabacteria. The record is from RNAcentral.
UUGAGAGUUUGAUCCUGGCUCAGAACGAACGCUGGCGGCGCGCCUAACACAUGCAAGUCGAACGGGGUUAUAGCAUGAAACCUGCUUCGGUAGGUGGAGUGCUUUAACUUAGUGGCGAACGGGUGAGUAACACAUAGGUAACCUACCCUUAGGAUGGGGAUACUCCCGAGAAAUCGGGCACAAUACCGAAUAUGAUUCCGAGGUGAAAUGCCUUGGGAUAAAAGCUACGAGCAAUCGUAGUACCUGAGGAUGGGCCUGUGGCCUAUCAGCUUGUUGGUGAGGUAAUGGCUCACCAAGGCAAAGACGGGUAGCCGGACUGAGAGGUCGAUCGGCCACACUGGAACUGAGACACGGUCCAGACUCCUACGGGAGGCAGCAGUG